RNAcentral lists this ribosomal RNA (465 nucleotides) under Vreelandella stevensii. RNAcentral describes it as "partial 16S ribosomal RNA". It matches the Rfam family "Bacterial small subunit ribosomal RNA", at positions 338 to 795 of the family's 1533-position model. Lineage: Bacteria; Pseudomonadati; Pseudomonadota; Gammaproteobacteria; Oceanospirillales; Halomonadaceae. The record is from RNAcentral.
CCUACGGGUGGCUGCAGUGGGGAAUAUUGGACAAUGGGGGCAACCCUGAUCCAGCCAUGCCGCGUGUGUGAAGAAGGCCCUCGGGUUGUAAAGCACUUUCAGUGAGGAAGAACGCCUGGUGGUUAAUACCCAUCAGGAAAGACAUCACUCACAGAAGAAGCACCGGCUAACUCCGUGCCAGCAGCCGCGGUAAUACGGAGGGUGCGAGCGUUAAUCGGAAUUACUGGGCGUAAAGCGCGCGUAGGGGGCUUGAUAAGCCGGUUGGGAAAGCCCCGGGCUCAACCUGGGAACGGCAUCCGGAACUGUCCAGCUAGAGUGCAGGAGAGGAAGGUAGAAUUCCCGGUGUAGCGGUGAAAUGCGUAGAGAUCGGGAGGAAUACCAGUGGCGAAGGCGGCCUUCUGGACUGACACUGACACUGAGGUGCGAAAGCGUGGGUAGCAAACAGGAUUAGAUACCCCAGUAGUC